RNAcentral lists this transfer RNA (72 nucleotides) under Lupinus albus (white lupine). RNAcentral describes it as "tRNA-Ser". It matches the Rfam family "tRNA". Rfam says of the family: Transfer RNA (tRNA) molecules are approximately 80 nucleotides in length. Their secondary structure includes four short double-helical elements and three loops (D, anti-codon, and T loops). Lineage: Eukaryota; Viridiplantae; Streptophyta; Magnoliopsida; Fabales; Fabaceae. The record is from RNAcentral.
UGGUUCUAUGGUGUAGUGGUUAGCACUAUGGACUGAAUCCAGCGACCUGGGUUCGACUCCCGGUAGAAACUU